AGCAGCCGCGGUAAUUCCAGCUCCAAUAGCGUAUAUUAAAGUUGUUGCAGUUAAAAAGCUCGUAGUUGAAUUUCGGGGUUAGCAGGUCGGUCGUGCCAUUGGUAUGAACUGGUCUCGCUGAUCCCUCCCUCCUUGACGAACUGUGAUGCCAUUAAUUUGGUGUCGCAGGGAAGUCAGGACUGUUACUUUAGAAAAAAUUAAGAGUGUUUAAAGACAGGCUCACGCUUGAAUACAUUAGCACGGAAUAAUGAAAUAGGACGUUUGUAUCCUUAUUUUGUUGGCUUCUAGGAUUGACGUAAUGAUUAAUAGGGAUAGUUGGGGGCAUUAGUAUUCAAUUGUCAGAGGUGAAAUUCUUGGAUUUAUUGAAGACUAACUACUGCGAAAGCAUUUGCCAAGGUAUGUUUUCAUUAAAUCAAGAACGAAAGUUAGGGGAUCGAAGACGAUCAGAUACCGUCGUAGUCUUAACCAUAAACUAUGCCGACUAGGGAUCGGAUGAUGUUAAUUUUUUAANGACUU
RNAcentral lists this ribosomal RNA (516 nucleotides) under uncultured Glomus. RNAcentral's name for it is "SSU rRNA". It matches the Rfam family "Eukaryotic small subunit ribosomal RNA", at positions 569 to 1077 of the family's 1831-position model. Lineage: Eukaryota; Fungi; Glomeromycota; Glomeromycetes; Glomerales; Glomeraceae. The record is from RNAcentral.